AUCCCAUGAUGAGGGCACUCCCUUUGGUACUCCUUAAAUCGGUCCCAAGCCUCGAAAAGCGAUUCAUCACGCCCUUGCUCAAAUGAUUGAAUCUUGUGCCGAAACU
Spinacia oleracea (spinach) is the source of this 106-nucleotide non-coding RNA. Lineage: Eukaryota; Viridiplantae; Streptophyta; Magnoliopsida; Caryophyllales; Amaranthaceae. The record is from Rfam.